Long non-coding RNA from Halichondria panicea, 602 nucleotides. RefSeq lists it as uncharacterized. The record is from RefSeq and is a predicted model, not a curated record. The transcript has 3 exons. Lineage: Eukaryota; Metazoa; Porifera; Demospongiae; Suberitida; Halichondriidae.
UUUGCCUUCAAUAGUCUACAGAAGGCAGCACAAAGGCUUGGCCUCGGGGCAAUGCACACUGAUAGUCCAGCUGUUCUAAAUAGUGCUUGCUAAGUUUAAUCUGUCUAGAGAAAGAGCAAAGUCUAAUAAUUUGGUAUAAAUCUUGACUUACCUUCACUGCCUCAAGUUUGUGGGAUUAUUUUGACUCUCUUGAAAGCAGUUCAGCCUUGCUACACUUUGAAGACAAGAUCAGUAGUGUGUGUUACAAAUGGGUCGUCGCAAAUUUUAUUUGGGAAGGCGUUUGAAGAAUUCUGAAAGACUAAACAAAGGGAAACGUCAAUUGGGAAGACCACCACAUAAAAAAUCGAUCGUGUCAUCCACAUCCACUGAUGGUACAUGUACUGAAAACACAUCCACUGAUAGCACAUUCAUUAAUAGCAGCGUUUCUGAUGGUACAUGUACUGAAAACUGCUGCACUUGAUCCAGUUAGAGGUAAUUGCAAGUCCAGAAAGAGAAUAUGUACAUCUGUAGAUGUGUCUGAACCUUUACCAAAGAGAGCAAGACGUUCAAAGAAAUCUAUGAGUGUAUGAUCUUGUUUUGAAGUGUAUUAAAUUUUGAAGUUA